RNAcentral lists this ribosomal RNA (387 nucleotides) under uncultured bacterium. Its description in RNAcentral is "bacterial SSU rRNA". It matches the Rfam family "Bacterial small subunit ribosomal RNA", at positions 29 to 417 of the family's 1533-position model. The record is from RNAcentral.
AUUAAACGCUGGCGGCAUGCCUUACACAUGCAAGUCGAACGGCAGCACGGGGGCAACCCUGGUGGCGAGUGGCGAACGGGUGAGUAACGCAUCGGAACGUGCCCUGGAGUGGGGGAUAACGUAGCGAAAGUUACGCUAAUACCGCAUAUUCUGUGAGCAGGAAAGCAGGGGAUCGCAAGACCUUGCGCUCUGGGAGCGGCCGAUGUCGGAUUAGCUAGUUGGUGGGGUAAAGGCCUACCAAGGCGACGAUCCGUAGCGGGUCUGAGAGGAUGAUCCGCCACACUGGGACUGAGACACGGCCCAGACUCCUACGGGAGGCAGCAGUGGGGAAUUUUGGACAAUGGGCGAAAGCCUGAUCCAGCCAUGCCGCGUGAGUGAAGAAGGCCU